Molecule: ribosomal RNA, 303 nt
Filed under: uncultured bacterium
Lineage: Bacteria
Description: partial 16S ribosomal RNA
Rfam family: Bacterial small subunit ribosomal RNA
Source: RNAcentral
AGCAGUCGCCGCGGUAAUACAGAGGGUGCAAGCGUUAAUCGGAAUUACUGGGCGUAAAGCGCGCGUAGGUGGUUUGUUAAGUUGGAUGUGAAAGCCCCGGGCUCAACCUGGGAACUGCAUCCAAAACUGGCAAGCUAGAGUACGGUAGAGGGUGGUGGAAUUUCCUGUGUAGCGGUGAAAUGCGUAGAUAUAGGAAGGAACACCAGUGGCGAAGGCGACCACCUGGACUGAUACUGACACUGAGGUGCGAAAGCGUGGGGAGCAAACAGGAUUAGAUACCCCUGUAGUCCCUGUCUCUUAUAC